CAGCAGCCACGGGAAAACGAAGGGGGCUAGCGUUGCUCGGAAUGACUGGGCGUAAAGGGCGCGUAGGCGGAUGGCACAGUCAGAUGUGAAAUUCCCGGGCUUAACCUGGGGGCUGCAUUUGAUACGUGUUGUCUAGAGUGAGGAAGAGGGUUGUGGAAUUCCCAGUGUAGAGGUGAAAUUCGUAGAUAUUGGGAAGAACACCGGUGGCGAAGGCGGCAACCUGGUCCUUGACUGACGCUGAGGCGCGAAAGCGUGGGGAGCAAACAGGAUUAGAUACCCCUGUAGUCCCUGUCUCUUAUAC
Molecule: ribosomal RNA, 301 nt
Filed under: uncultured bacterium
Lineage: Bacteria
Description: partial 16S ribosomal RNA
Rfam family: Bacterial small subunit ribosomal RNA
Source: RNAcentral